RNAcentral lists this ribosomal RNA (546 nucleotides) under uncultured bacterium. RNAcentral describes it as "bacterial SSU rRNA". It matches the Rfam family "Bacterial small subunit ribosomal RNA", at positions 338 to 873 of the family's 1533-position model. The record is from RNAcentral.
CCUACGGGAGGCAGCAGUGGGGAAUAUUGCACAAUGGGCGCAAGCCUGAUGCAGCGACGCCGCGUGAGGGAUGACGGCCUUCGGGUUGUAAACCUCUUUCAGUAGGGAAGAAGCGAAAGUGACGGUACCUGCAGAAGAAGCGCCGGCUAACUACGUGCCAGCAGCCGCGGUAAUACGUAGGGCGCAAGCGUUAUCCGGAAUUAUUGGGCGUAAAGAGCUCGUAGGCGGUUUGUCGCGUCUGCCGUGAAAGUCCGGGGCUCAACUCCGGAUCUGCGGUGGGUACGGGCAGACUAGAGUGAUGUAGGGGAGACUGGAAUUCCUGGUGUAGCGGUGAAAUGCGCAGAUAUCAGGAGGAACACCGAUGGCGAAGGCAGGUCUCUGGGCAUUAACUGACGCUGAGGAGCGAAAGCAUGGGGAGCGAACAGGAUUAGAUACCCUGGUAGUCCAUGCCGUAAACGUUGGGCACUAGGUGUGGGGGACAUUCCACGUUUUCCGCGCCGUAGCUAACGCNUUAAGUNCCCGCCGNGGNGNGCGCAGNAACACAGA